This 341-nucleotide ribosomal RNA is filed under the name uncultured soil bacterium. RNAcentral describes it as "bacterial SSU rRNA". It matches the Rfam family "Bacterial small subunit ribosomal RNA", at positions 26 to 358 of the family's 1533-position model. The record is from RNAcentral.
AGAUUGAACGCUGGCGGCAUGCUUUACACAUGCAAGUCGAACGGUAACAGGCCGCAAGGUGCUGACGAGUGGCGAACGGGUGAGUAAUGUAUCGGAACGUGCCCAGUCGUGGGGGAUAACGCAGCGAAAGCUCGCGCUAAUACCGCAUACGAUCUAUGGAUGAAAGCAGGGAUCGCAAGACCUUGCGCGAAUGGAGCGGCCGAUGGCGAGAUUAGGUAGUUGGUGAGGUAAGCUCACCAAGCCUUCGAUCUAGUACGCGUGGUCUGAGACGGACGACCAGCCACGACGUGGGACUGGACGACGACCGGCCCAGGACCGUCCGUACGGGAGCAGCAGGUGGG